Molecule: RNA transcript, 3384 nt
Organism: Corvus hawaiiensis (hawaiian crow)
Lineage: Eukaryota; Metazoa; Chordata; Aves; Passeriformes; Corvidae
Exons: 2
Source: RefSeq, a predicted model, not a curated record
UGGUGUGGAUAUUGUAAACACAGCUCAAAUGCUGUGAAGAUUUAGUUAGAAAAAACUCUUUAGUCCUUUGUGUUUGUGAUGUUGCUGGAUGAUACCCGUACAACAGAGUGUUCAUCCUUGCUAUUUCUGCUGCUGUGAGCACGUCUCAGUGCAUUGGUAGAGAUAUUCCAUAAGAAGGAACCUCGGGCUGUGGUCCACCAGCAGAGUGACCAGAGUGGAUGCAGGAACCAUGGAGCACAUUGUGGGACAAGCUAGAAACUUGUGAAAGUAUUGGGCCCAAACCGUGGGAAGCUAAAGACCCCAUGGAGGUGUUGAAAUAUUGGGGAGAGUUUGUGCAAACUCCUCAGACAUACUCUAAAGAGCAGCUUAUUCAUACUGAACACAUGGUAGGAUAUCUAUUAUUUGCAUACAAACUUGCAGUUGGAAAGAAUACAGAUUUUGAAAAACAGUUAGUCAAACAAGACAAGGACAUGUUGCAGAAGCAGGCAUUUGUGGUUGCUGCUGCCGCACUGCAAUCUGAAAUCUCAGUAAGUUAGGCCUGUAAGUAAGGUUAAGUUGUAAACUAUAAGUUAAAUUAGGUAUAAGUUAAAUGUUGUUCCUUUGUUAAAUUUUUAGGUUUAAGGUAAAAGUUAAGUUAGAGUACUCUUGAGUGCCGCUAAACUUUUAGGCCAUAUUCCUCUUAUUCCUUGCCUCACUGUCCUUUUGUCACACAUACACAGAGGUAGUUCCUGGCUUGUUUCUGUUUUGUUUGCCUGGCUUUUAUUUGGCUUUGUUGUUGCUUGUUUUUUCCUUGGUGUGCUUUAACUGUAGUAGAGUGAAUCUUGCCAAUGAACUUUGUUGUGCUGUCACUUAAUAUUAGAUCUGAUUUUGCUGAUACCCUUGCUGAUGAUUUUUUUAGGUGAUCUCAAACUCUUGGUCGUAACUUUGGAUGCAAGAGAUUUGGAGAAACUUUUGGUGCUAAGCCCUUUUCUUUUUUUAAAUAGAAUGCAUUUAGAACUAAUGCAUAGGAUACUAAUUUGCUAGCCUUAGCUAGUCAGGGAUGUGGUAUUAAAUACCCCACAGAAAAUAAUUAACCAGGGUCUGAGCGUCCAUGGUACACCUUGUAAGAUUGUAUACAGCAAAUGAAGAAGGAAGGGAUGAAAGCAGCAAUUUUUACUGGGGACGCUGAUCCUCUGAUGUGAAAUCCGCGUCUGUUACUGUGAGAAAUAGACUGAUUAAGACUACUCCCCCAGCAUAUGAAAAUGUAAUAAUGACCCUUUUAAUUAAUGAAACAGGAAAUCCUCUGGAUGAGAUAAUUGAAAAAAUACAGCAGCUAAGUAAGCUUGGGGAGUGGAACCCCCAGAGAAGUGCUGGGAAUCAAGAAAACCUACCUAUUAGGCUUUUCACACAAGGAAGUAGCUACAUGCCAGGGUUAAAAUUCCAAGAGGAGAUGCAGAAAUCCAAGCAACUGUUAAUGACAUAUUACAAGCAGGUAUUUUAUAUUUUCACCCCUGCUUUAGUAGCAAGUGACUUCGUAGUGUUAAAUUCUGUACACCCACAGCACAGAGUGGCCUUACAAGUUGCUAUUUUUAUGUGUUUUUCCAAUUAAAGUGUAACAUGUAACUUGUGUUUCAUUCUUCUAGAGUGGAGAGUUCAUUCCAUGAAUCUUAAGGGUACCUCAGACUCAUACUCACCUGGAACAGAACGUCUGGGUGACCCUGGCUAAGGCAACCAGAGAAGAAACCUUAUGCCUUAGCCCUGCUCUGCCCCAGAACCCAUUCACAACAUGUUUGAUCAGCGUCCCUCUCACUGCCUGUGAGCUGCAACAGCUGUGUAACAGUACCCCUGCAUCUGCGGCCUGUCCGGCUACUGGAGUGUGGCAACAACUGUCUCACCUCGGGACAUUUUCUCACCCUGCUUUAUCCCCACAGGAGCUGCAGAUUUUAGGCACCUUGAAUGCAGAUAGUUGUACUAACUUUAAAUUUAUUAGCACGAGGAAUAGUCCUAUAGCUUGGUGGGUUAAUGCCACGAUACCAUGGUAUCAAAAUGCUUCACACUGGUGUAAUUCAACCACAGCCCAACUAACCCUGAGUUUUACUACACAUAUGCAACUCUCACAAGGUAUCUUCUUAAUCUGUGGGGACCAAGCAUGGGCUGGAGUGCCAAUGGAAAUUAAAGGUGGUCCAUGUACCUUGGGAAAACUAACACUCUCCAAAUAUAACUGUUGCAGUAUGGAUCCAACAAAACCGAACUCACCACCAACAUACUCGGAGCCACACAUGCUUCUACUCCUGACUGCAGAGAUACUGUUGAGUUCUGGAACACUCAAGACAAUCACUGUCUUUUUAUUGGCUCCUGGGGUUGCUAGUGCUAAAACACUCACGAGCCUGAAUAAACUUGGCUGUUGGUUAGCAAAGUUUAGCAAUGCUACUGACAUAGCUAUAUAUGAUUUGUUAGUUGAUGCAGACAGUAUUAGACACGCUACACUACAAAAUUGAGCAGCAAUUGAUUUUUUGCUUUUAGCAGAUGGACAUGGAUGCAAAAAUACUGACAGAUUAUGUUGUAUGAACUUAAGUGGUAAUUCUAGCUCUGUCCAUGCACAGAUACAGAAAUUACGGACACUUGCUCAGCACCUUGUAGAAGAAGACACCAGUUGGAAUCCAUUUGCUGGAUGGACAUGGGGUUGGAAUUGGUUAAAAAAGGGAUAAGUAUUACUUUGUGCCUUAAGUAUUGGGAUUCUAUGUAUUCUUUGUUGUAUUCCUUGUUUAGUAUCAUUAAUGCGAUCUUUAAUAGAUGGCAUGUUGCAUCGUACUGUUGUUUGUAUGAUGGAAUAUUGACGAGUUCCAACCGCGGACCAUGUGGUGACAUGUGUCAGGGACUGAAAUCGUGUCUAAGGCCCUGCCAUGUUUGGGCCACUGCUGUGCACGUUGACCAGAUAAUGAAGAACAUACAGUGCAGAAAACCUUACUGUUUAACUGGUGGGAACUUGACCCUUAAGAGAAACAACGUAUUGGUCAAUCAAUGGGACAUUAACCUGGGAAAGAGGAACAAUACACAAUGGAGCUGGUGUUAGCAUGGAGGUGGUAUCGUGAGCCAUUGUGGCCUCAUCUUACGUGCUGGCCACGUGUGCGAUGACAUCGUAACUGGAAAAAUUCCACUCUGGAGGAGGAGAUAUAAGGCCUGGUUCUGGGGUGAAGGGAGGAGAAGGACAAAAUGAGUGCCAUUUCAGUCCAAGAGAUGCCCUCAUUGUGCCCUGCCUACCUGCCCCUCCCGCCUGAGCACCAUGCUCCAUUUGCUUCCCCUGCUCAGCAGCUUUUCAAGAAUCAUGGGGUCAGUAUGAUUUGCUACAGCAACUAAUACAAUAAAUUUGCUUUGCAAUCACAAUUGCGUUUCAGAUUUUUUGCA